Molecule: RNA transcript, 2165 nt
Organism: Peromyscus leucopus (white-footed mouse)
Lineage: Eukaryota; Metazoa; Chordata; Mammalia; Rodentia; Cricetidae
Gene: Sirt7
Gene name: sirtuin 7
Exons: 10
Source: RefSeq, a predicted model, not a curated record
GGCGAGGCGGAAGCGGAAGCCGGAAGCGCAGUCCCGGGAGCGAUGGCAGCCGGUGGCGGUCUGAGCCGCUCGGAGCGCAAGGCGGCUGAGCGGGUCCGGAGGCUGCGAGAGGAGCAGCAGCGGGAGCGCCUCCGCCAGGUGUCACGCAUUCUGAGGAAGGCGGCUGCAGAGCGCAGCGCGGAGGAGGGCCGGCUUCUGGCCGAGAGCGAGGAUCUGGUGACCGAGCUGCAGGGUCGGAGCCGGCGGCGUGAGGGCCUCAAGCGGCGCCAAGAGGAGGUGUGUGAUGACCCAGAGGAACUGCGGAGGAAGGUCCGCGAACUGGCGGGAGCUGUCCGGAAUGCCAAACACUUGGUGGUCUACACAGGCGCUGGGAUCAGCACGGCGGCUUCUAUCCCAGAUUAUCGGGGCCCUAAUGGGGUAUGGACACUGCUUCAGAAAGGAAGAAGUGUGAGUGCUGCUGACCUAAGUGAGGCAGAGCCUACUCUCACCCACAUGAGCAUCACCCGUUUGCAUGAGCAAAAGCUGGUGCAGCAUGUGGUGUCUCAGAACUGUGACGGGCUCCAUCUGCGCAGCGGGCUGCCACGGACUGCCAUCUCGGAGCUCCAUGGGAAUAUGUACAUAGAAGUCUGCACCGCCUGCAUCCCUAAUAGAGAAUAUGUGCGAGUGUUUGAUGUGACGGAACGUACUGCCCUUCACCGACACCAGACUGGCCGGACCUGCCAUAAGUGUGGGACUCAGCUGCGGGACACCAUUGUGCACUUUGGGGAGAGGGGGACAUUAGGGCAGCCUCUGAACUGGGAGGCAGCGACCGAGGCUGCUAGUAAAGCAGACACGAUCCUGUGUUUAGGGUCCAGCCUGAAGGUACUAAAGAAGUAUCCUCGCCUCUGGUGCAUGACGAAGCCUCCAAGCCGGCGGCCCAAACUCUACAUUGUGAACUUGCAGUGGACCCCAAAGGAUGACUGGGCUGCUUUGAAGCUUCAUGGGAAAUGCGAUGAUGUAAUGCAGCUCCUCAUGGAUGAACUGGGCCUGGAGAUCCCGGCCUACAACCGGUGAGUGGGUGCAGCACGGCCCCACUUGCGCCCUUCUGUGUGACGGGCUGUGUCUGUCUUCUGUGAGCCUCCGGAGAGACUGGCUGGGGCGAGGCUCCACCACAAGCGUACACUCUUCCCCCCUGACUGGAAUGGUGCCCGCACCUCUGUGAGGAGAGGGGGUCUACCAGUGUGUUCCGUAGGAUGUUUCCCCACGGAUCUCUUGCAGCCUGGGUGGACAACUGUGAGGGGUGAGAACUGUGCAACUCUGGUCAGACAGAAUCUGUGUCCUUGGUUUUGGGAUAUUUGGGGAAAGCUUAAUCAAAUUGCCUUGAUACAGAAUUUGUGAUAAUUUAGAUUUGGUGUGUAUUUUGAGUGAAAAGUUUACACUUUCUUUCUCUGUGAAUUUUCAGGGUCUUAUAGGGGAAAUCAGUAACUUCUUUUAAUCAAAGGGUUCAAGAAAUUAAGGAUCCCUUCACCUCUGGGCCUGGCAAUUCUUGUAUGUUAUGUUUGUGGUGUUCUGUGACGUGGGCCUAUCCUGUGCUGUACUGUUUUUUGUUGUUAUUGUUGGUUUGUUUUCUUGUUGUUGUUUUUAACAUUAAGUUAGCUCAUUUUUUUUAAUCAGUGCUUAUCUUUAUCUUACGUUUAUAAUAUGUGGUUCUGCAUCUCAAUCAGAUACAUGAUUUCUUCAUGGUGUAGUCUGUAGGCCAUGCCUCCCUAGCCAACUGGCCUUCACUCCCAUCCCUGUCAUGCAGUCUGGGAAGGGGAAAGGGUCUGGUCCACCUGCCCCCAUCCAUACAAGCGAAAGGGGCCCAGAGUGGCUAGCAGCUUCUCCUUAGAGAUGGAGCCAUCCUGCAGCUAGCACUACCCCUCCUGUGUGUGGAGCCCACCAAUGAUGAUGAGACACAGAAGAGGCCCCUAGGUCUGUUGCUGGCCUUGGAGUUGCCACCCAAGCAGAUUGUCCCCUGAGCCAGCUCUUCCAUAGCUCGGUGACACUGAAGCUGCUGUAGCCAGAGCCCAGCCACCACUGAGACACGAGGGAAGGGGUGGCAAGACCCCAUUUUCUCCUUGGCAACUCCCCUCCGUGCUGGUGAGGAAGGCAGCCACAGCAGGAAGUCGCUGUGCAGAAGCAGAGAG